AUGAAGUCCAAAGCAGCUGCUGGCCACUGCACAAGAUUAGUCAAGUUUAUACUCUUGUGCGUGUGACAGCGGCUAUUGCGGGCAUUUCAUUGGCUGCG
Molecule: non-coding RNA, 98 nt
Organism: Bombyx mori (domestic silkworm)
Lineage: Eukaryota; Metazoa; Arthropoda; Insecta; Lepidoptera; Bombycidae
Source: Rfam